Molecule: unclassified non-coding RNA, 1205 nt
Filed under: Hevea brasiliensis (rubber tree)
Lineage: Eukaryota; Viridiplantae; Streptophyta; Magnoliopsida; Malpighiales; Euphorbiaceae
Source: RNAcentral
UCAUCCAAGCCUAACUCAGUUUCUUUCGCUUCUUUUCCGAUCGAUCUUUCUGCUGUGCUCUUGCCCCAGAUGACAGAAACCAUUUUAAACCCCGAACCUCUCCCCAUGUCCCCACAACCAGCGAUCAAAUUCACCGAGCAUGUAACCACUACCAGCAAGCUCAUCCCCAUCUCUUCAAGAACCCGGAAAAGACUCGUUAGAAUCAUCCUCACAGACCCCUAUGCCACUGAUUCAUCCAGUGAUGAAGAAGAUGAAGAAAAGAAGGAACCAAGGAAAGGAAAGAAAUUCGUGAAGAGAGUGAAGAGGCACGUCAGAGAAAUCAGCUUUAAGCAAACCAGACCAUCAGGUCCACCACCUUUUAUUGCUAAAAGGAGACCUUCGAGAUCUCCGGAAUCUGGCGUCACUUCCCGGAAGAAGUUCCGAGGUGUCCGUCAGAGACCGUGGGGCAGAUGGGCCGCCGAGAUUCGAGAUCCAAACCGCCGGAAACGGGUUUGGCUCGGUACCUUCGACACCGCUGAGGAGGCUGCCACUGUGUAUGAUAGAGCUGCAGUGAAACUCAAAGGCUCUAACGCCGUUACGAACUUUCCUAACCCCGCUAUGACGGAAGACAUAGGCAGUCAAAGGGAUGGUUGUGAAUCCUGCGAUUCACCAAGCGCCGUCACGUCCUCCCCUACGUCGGUCCUCGGAUAUGAAGGAUUAACGACGUUUGAUGACAAUUUCAGUUACGGUGACGUUGACGCUUUCGGAUUCGAUAUUGACGUGCCGUUAAAUCUAGCGGAUUUUAUGUCAUCGGGAAAACAUUUGGCCGGCGAAGAAUUCGUUGACCUCGAUGAUUUCUUGGUCGACGUUAUAUCCUAAGUAUAGUGUAAACAAUGUUCCUCAGUCACUGAUUUUGUCUAGGAAAUUUCAGCGAACAGGGUGCAGUAUUUGGUAAUUUCACUUUGCCGACGUGGCGUUUUACUAUUUGUUAUUAAGGGCGACUAAGGGAAACAAGUGGGCAAGUUGGUGGCGGAUUUACAAAAGUGCCCUCGUUGGUGGUUUUGGUUUGAUUAGUCAAACACUACGAAGUGUAAUUAAACGUGGAGUUUUAGCCGAUUGUAGGGAUUUAUACGGCGAUUUUGUCACGUGUUCUAAGUAUUUUUGUACUCGUAUAAUUAAAAUUAUAUAUUAUUAACUAUUUAAAUUAUUUAUGUAAUUUGGUGUGA